Long non-coding RNA from Lolium rigidum, 377 nucleotides. RefSeq lists it as uncharacterized. The transcript has 2 exons. The record is from RefSeq and is a predicted model, not a curated record. NCBI's taxonomy places the organism in Eukaryota, Viridiplantae, Streptophyta, Magnoliopsida, Poales, Poaceae.
UUCUGCUUCGUUCCUAAACGAGCAAGAGGUCAAUACAUCGUCUUCCAGUCUCUAUUUGACAAUAGUGCUUCGAUUGUGCUAUGCUAUAGUUGCGAGUUGUGACAGCUUGAGACCAACGCCGAUGCUGGUGUGGUUGUUGGCUCUGCCUGAACUGUUGUUAGCUUGCCAAGAUCGGUGUGCUUUGCAGAGAGAAAAUCGAGAUUUUAUUCCUCUGUAACAAGGUUACGAUCAUCCAUUACAAGCUGUGAAGCCCAUUGAGGAACUUGGCUUUACCAAAAAGCGGUAUUGCCUUCCAGCCUACCAAAAUUGGCAAGACAAUGUACACCCCUAUUUUGUUCGCUAUCUAAUUUCACAAGGAUAAAUUCUCGAAGACUCAA